This 329-nucleotide ribosomal RNA is filed under the name uncultured Bacteroidota bacterium. Its description in RNAcentral is "bacterial SSU rRNA". It matches the Rfam family "Bacterial small subunit ribosomal RNA", at positions 28 to 351 of the family's 1533-position model. Lineage: Bacteria; Pseudomonadati; Bacteroidota. The record is from RNAcentral.
GAUGAACGCUAGCGACAGGCUUAACACAUGCAAGUCGAGGGGCAGCACGAUGUAGCAAUACAUUGGUGGCGACCGGCGCACGGGUGAGUAACGCGUAUGCAACCUACCUAUCAGAGGGGAAUAACCCGGCGAAAGUCGGACUAAUACCGCAUAAAACAGGGGUUCCACAUGGAAAUAUUUGUUAAAGAAUUAUCGCUGAUAGAUGGGCAUGCGUUCCAUUAGAUAGUUGGUGAGGUAACGGCUCACCAAGUCCACGAUGGAUAGGGGUUCUGAGAGGAAGGUCCCCCACACUGGUACUGAGACACGGACCAGACUCCUACGGGAGGCAG